GCGGAUGUAAUUCAGUGGUAGAAUACGAGCUUCCCAAGCUCGGUACGAGGGUUCGAUCCCCUUCAUCCGCUCCA
RNAcentral lists this transfer RNA (74 nucleotides) under Megasphaera geminata. Its description in RNAcentral is "tRNA-Gly". It matches the Rfam family "tRNA". Rfam says of the family: Transfer RNA (tRNA) molecules are approximately 80 nucleotides in length. RNAcentral also lists the same sequence under 5 other names. Lineage: Bacteria; Bacillati; Bacillota; Negativicutes; Veillonellales; Veillonellaceae. The record is from RNAcentral.